This 253-nucleotide ribosomal RNA is filed under the name uncultured bacterium. RNAcentral's name for it is "partial 16S ribosomal RNA". It matches the Rfam family "Bacterial small subunit ribosomal RNA", at positions 524 to 776 of the family's 1533-position model. The record is from RNAcentral.
UACAGAGGUGGCAAGCGUUGUUCGGAAUUACUGGGCGUAAAGGGCGCGUAGGCGGUUCGUUAAGUCCUGUGUGAAAUCCCCCGGCUCAACUGGGGAACUGCACAGGAAACUAGCGGGCUUGAGUUCGGGAGAGGGAAGCGGAAUUCCGGGUGUAGCGGUGAAAUGCGUAGAUAUCCGGAGGAACACCGGUGGCGAAGGCGGCUUCCCGGACCGACACUGACGCUGAGGCGCGAAAGCUAGGGGAGCAAACGGG